CGAUAGAAGAAAAAAAGGAAAAAAAAAAAAAGGAAGAAAAAGGAAGAAAAAAGAGGGGAGAAAAAUAAGGAUUUUCAACCCAAAUCAUCAAGAUAUUGUCGUUGAGAACGAGGCUGGUAAUUGAAGAUUUCGUGAGUGGAUUCUGUUGCUGAGGUGAGCCACCGCAUUGUUCGUGGAGGCAGCCAUUUCAGCUUUAUCUAGUUUAUUUCUAGUUAUUUCUUUUAUUUUGGGUUUACAUGCCCGACACUCAAACUCAUGUACUCUGUUAGAUGCUCCAUGGUCUUAGCGUGGGAUGUGGGCUAGAGAUUCUUUUUAUCUUAACGUUGAUUGGUUUUCAUAAAUCGAUUAUGGAUUUGGUUGGCGACUAUUUCGCAUUUUUAUCAUUAAUAACGUUGUUGGACUUGCACUUAUUUUCU
Long non-coding RNA from Lycium ferocissimum, 416 nucleotides. RefSeq lists it as uncharacterized. The transcript is spliced from 2 exons. The record is from RefSeq and is a predicted model, not a curated record. Lineage: Eukaryota; Viridiplantae; Streptophyta; Magnoliopsida; Solanales; Solanaceae.